This 497-nucleotide ribosomal RNA is filed under the name uncultured bacterium. RNAcentral describes it as "partial 16S ribosomal RNA". It matches the Rfam family "Bacterial small subunit ribosomal RNA", at positions 28 to 507 of the family's 1533-position model. The record is from RNAcentral.
GAUGAACGCUGGCGGCGUGCCUAAUACAUGCAAGUCGAGCGAACAGAUGAGGAUUUUGCUCCUCUGACGUUAUCGGCGGACGGGUGAGUAACACGUGGAUAACCUACCUAUAAGACUGGGAUAACUUCGGGAAACCGGAGCUAAUACCGGAUAAUAUAUUGAACCGCAUGGUUCAAUAGUGAAAGACGGUUUUGCUGUCACUUAUAGAUGGAUCCGCGUCGCAUUAGCUAGUUGGUAAGGUAACGGCUUACCAAGGCAACGAUGCGUAGCCGACCUGAGAGGGUGAUCGGCCACACUGGAACUGAGACACGGUCCAGACUCCUACGGGAGGCAGCAGUAGGGAAUCUUCCGCAAUGGGCGAAAGCCUGACGGAGCAACGCCGCGUGAGUGAUGAAGGUCUUCGGAUCGUAAAACUCUGUUAUUAGGGAAGAACAAAUGUGUAAGUAACUAUGCACGUCUUGACGGUACCUAAUCAGAAAGCCACGGCUAACUACGUG